RNAcentral lists this long non-coding RNA (214 nucleotides) under Gossypium barbadense (sea-island cotton). RNAcentral's name for it is "long non-coding RNA (GBAR_LNC004243)". Lineage: Eukaryota; Viridiplantae; Streptophyta; Magnoliopsida; Malvales; Malvaceae. The record is from RNAcentral.
UUUUUCCUCCAUUGUUGCCAUUGCCUAAACCUCCCUUUUUACCAUCUUUUUCUUCUUCUUUUUGUAUCAAGAUUGUGCACCAUCUCCUUUAUUAUACUGCUUCAAUUUUUCCCCAAAUAAAUCAGCCCUAAAUCUGAAAUAUUGAACUCCAAAACUGAUCCCAAACAUUGCCAAGAAGGUGUCAUUGUUGUUUCUCUCAACUAGCUUGGGUAAG